RNAcentral lists this long non-coding RNA (264 nucleotides) under Setaria italica (foxtail millet). RNAcentral's name for it is "long non-coding RNA (SITA_LNC005579)". Lineage: Eukaryota; Viridiplantae; Streptophyta; Magnoliopsida; Poales; Poaceae. The record is from RNAcentral.
AAAGGUAAAAUAUACACGUGUACAUUCGUAUUGGUGAGUGUCCAUGUGUGUACGAAAGCGCAUGUGUCUAUGCUAUGUUUUGCAUAAGGAGGAACGAAUCUAAAAAGUCAUGACCUAUUAGAUCAUGAAAAGGCAAAAAAGUAUAUAUGUGAUAGUAUCACUGCACAAACAGUACCCAUAAGAAGAUGAGACCGUGUUGUUGAUUCGGAUGGCAACAACUUUAGUCUCUCCGUACCAUUUCCGCUAUCCCAAACUUUCUUUGUU